Molecule: ribosomal RNA, 253 nt
Filed under: uncultured bacterium
Lineage: Bacteria
Description: partial 16S ribosomal RNA
Rfam family: Bacterial small subunit ribosomal RNA
Source: RNAcentral
UACGUAGGGGGCAAGCGUUGUUCGGAUUCAUUGGGCGUAAAGGGUGUGUAGGUGGCGCGCUAAGUCGGGUGUGAAAUUUCGGAGCUUAACUCCGAAACUGCAUUCGAUACUGGCGUGCUUGAGGACUGGAGAGGAGACUGGAAUUCAUGGUGUAGCAGCGAAAUGCGUAGAGAUCAUGAGGAAGACCAGUGGCGAAGGCGGGUCUCUGGACAGUUCCUGACACUGAGACACGAAGGCCAGGGGAGCAAACGGG